RNAcentral lists this ribosomal RNA (423 nucleotides) under uncultured bacterium. RNAcentral describes it as "bacterial SSU rRNA". It matches the Rfam family "Bacterial small subunit ribosomal RNA", at positions 424 to 835 of the family's 1533-position model. The record is from RNAcentral.
UGUAAAGCUCUGUCGGCCGGAAAGAAAUCGCGUGGGUUAAUACCCUGUGCGGAUGACGGUACCGGACAUAAGAAGCACCGGCUAACUACGUGCCAGCAGCCGCGGUAAUACGUAGGGUGCGAGCGUUAAUCGGAAUUACUGGGCGUAAAGCGUGCGCAGGCGGUUAUGUAAGACAGAGCGUGAAAUCCCCGGGCUCAACCUGGGAACUGCGUCUUGUGACUGCAUAGNCUAGAGUACGGCAGAGGGGGGUGGAAUUCCACGUGUAGCAGUGAAAUGCGUAGANAUGUGGAGGAACACCAAUGGCGAAGGCAGCCCCCUGGGUCAAUACUGACGCUCAUGCACGAAAGCGUGGGUAGCAAACAGGAUUAGAUACCCUGGUAGUCCACGCCCUAAACGAUGUCAACUAGGUGUUGGGUGNGUAAC